GGAUUACACAUGUUGUUUAUCAUUAUUUAUUUAUGUUAUUUAUCAUUUAAAUCCACAAACAACAUGUGUAAUCCUGGGCAUAUUAAGACUUGGACCAGAAAACAAUUACUUUCUCUCCAUUGAAACCAUUCAUAUUUUUCGAUCUCAUAGGUCCCAUGGGCUCUACUGGAAGGGGCGUGACUUCGCCACUCUUUAUAAGCCGUUUCAAAACAAUCCUUUAUUUACAUCACAGUCGCUGAGGAAUUGGAGAUGGAAACAUGUAGGUAGUCACCCAGAGUGGCCUCUACAUUGUUGCCAUCUGCACAUCUACUCGGCCGCCUCUGAAUGUCCAACACCUGGAACCCGUUGAUGGGACUGCAGACCACUCCAUGUUGCUCUCAACAAGAGCAAUGAGGUCGCUGCACUCACCGGAUCAUUUGUCAAUAUUCCAACAAAGAUCAGACACAUGGAUGUCUGCUGCAACACACACGUGGCUGAAAUUUAUUUAGCUUGCUGUUUUUGAUUGUUUUGUUGUCCUGGGACAAACUGAUCAAGUGGAGCUAUCUAGCCUUCUCAAUCUUCUGUGGGGCUAACGACACUGCAUUGAAAUAACGUAUCUGGAUUUCUUGCCCCUGAAUUUAACUCUUACAAUUUCCAAUAAAUCAUUUUCAGCUUUAUUUUUCAAUGUUAAAAGAACAGUCUUCCCUGGCGCUGUUUCGGUGGCUUCUCUCAUAAAAAGCUACAGUCAGUGUUUAAUGGCGUUGAUUUACCUUUGAGCAUUUCCUAUUAUAGGCUACUGUGUAAAAUGCUGUUUAGAAUUAAUAUUUAUAUCAAGAAAGAAAGAACCAGCGAGUGACGCUCUUAUUCCUGCUCUCCUUGCUUGACCGCAAUCUAGCUUCUAGGAUCGUGGGGAUUAUUGACACUUAUUACAAGAUGAACCUUAAAAUAUGACUGAGGCAAAUAUGCUAUGGGGCUAACAACAUAAAGAAACUUGUUUCUGUACCUUUUGCUUGAUCUGGUCUGUAUGUUGUUGUUCCCUGCGCCCAUAUUUAGUACUCUGUAAGACUUGCCUAUUUA
Long non-coding RNA from Gadus morhua (Atlantic cod), 1056 nucleotides. RefSeq lists it as uncharacterized. The record is from RefSeq and is a predicted model, not a curated record. NCBI's taxonomy places the organism in Eukaryota, Metazoa, Chordata, Actinopteri, Gadiformes, Gadidae. The transcript is spliced from 2 exons.